UACGUAGGUGGCGAGCGUUGUCCUGAAUUACUGGGUGUAAAGGGAGCGUAGGCGGGAGUGCAAGUUGAAUGUUAAAUCUAUCGGCUCAACCGAUAGCCGCGUUCAAAACUGCAUUUCUUGAGUGAAGUAGAGGUUGGCGGAAUUCCUAGUGUAGCGGUGAAAUGCGUAGAUAUUAGGAGGAACACCAGUGGCGAAGGCGGCCAACUGGGCUUUUACUGACGCUGAGGCUCGAAAGCGUGGGGAGCAAACAGGAUUAGAUACCCUGGUAGU
Molecule: ribosomal RNA, 270 nt
Filed under: uncultured prokaryote
Description: partial 16S ribosomal RNA
Rfam family: Bacterial small subunit ribosomal RNA
Source: RNAcentral